This 606-nucleotide long non-coding RNA is filed under the name Mustela putorius furo (domestic ferret). RNAcentral describes it as "lncRNA (ENSMPUG00000026041.1)". The record is from RNAcentral. Lineage: Eukaryota; Metazoa; Chordata; Mammalia; Carnivora; Mustelidae.
GUGGGGGGGGGGCUCUCAUUUAAACAAGUUUUAUCAUGUAUUUGCUGUAUAAUAUAACUUACACACUAAAAUGUUGCAUUUGGGGAUUCCUCAGGAUGAUGAAAGACACUUAGAAAGUUCAAAUUACUGAGAAUGUGAAUAUUAUAAAAUACAGACAGAUCAAAACCACAGAGGAAUGAGCAGGACAUGGAGACUCACAGCCCAGUGUUGGGAAGCCACGCGUUCACUGAUGCUCUCUGCUGGAGACCGAAAUUCUGGUAUCAAGCAGGAAACAGAACCUACGAGUGAGGAAAGGCUGUCCAGGAUAGCACAAUACACAUUCCAGACGAUGUAGGGCUUGGAGGGAAAAUGAACAUUUCAUUUCUACCAUGGUCUCUACUGGCUAUGAGACCAUAGGGAGUAACUUGGCUUUGCUGGACCUUGGUCUCUCUUUUUUGAAAAGAGCAUUCUACCUAGUGGAGUUGUUGUAAGUAUUCCAUGCUAAACAACAGUGCUUGGAAACGACAAAACACAAUCAAGAAUUUAGGUACGAUGAUAGGGACUAGUGAGAAAAUAGUAGGUGUCAAAUAAGAGCUAGCAACCCACAUAACAAAGAUGAUAUUUGAC